This 773-nucleotide ribosomal RNA is filed under the name Bacillus inaquosorum. RNAcentral's name for it is "bacterial SSU rRNA". It matches the Rfam family "Bacterial small subunit ribosomal RNA", at positions 58 to 812 of the family's 1533-position model. Lineage: Bacteria; Bacillati; Bacillota; Bacilli; Caryophanales; Bacillaceae. The record is from RNAcentral.
CAAGUCGAGCGGACAGAUGGGAGCUUGCUCCCUGAUGUUAGCGGCGGACGGGUGAGUAACACGUGGGUAACCUGCCUGUAAGACUGGGAUAACUCCGGGAAACCGGGGCUAAUACCGGAUGGUUGUUUGAACCGCAUGGUUCAAACAUAAAAGGUGGCUUCGGCUACCACUUACAGAUGGACCCGCGGCGCAUUAGCUAGUUGGUGAGGUAACGGCUCACCAAGGCAACGAUGCGUAGCCGACCUGAGAGGGUGAUCGGCCACACUGGGACUGAGACACGGCCCAGACUCCUACGGGAGGCAGCAGUAGGGAAUCUUCCGCAAUGGACGAAAGUCUGACGGAGCAACGCCGCGUGAGUGAUGAAGGUUUUCGGAUCGUAAAGCUCUGUUGUUAGGGAAGAACAAGUACCGUUCGAAUAGGGCGGUACCUUGACGGUACCUAACCAGAAAGCCACGGCUAACUACGUGCCAGCAGCCGCGGUAAUACGUAGGUGGCAAGCGUUGUCCGGAAUUAUUGGGCGUAAAGGGCUCGCAGGCGGUUUCUUAAGUCUGAUGUGAAAGCCCCCGGCUCAACCGGGGAGGGUCAUUGGAAACUGGGGAACUUGAGUGCAGAAGAGGAGAGUGGAAUUCCACGUGUAGCGGUGAAAUGCGUAGAGAUGUGGAGGAACACCAGUGGCGAAGGCGACUCUCUGGUCUGUAACUGACGCUGAGGAGCGAAAGCGUGGGGAGCGAACAGGAUUAUAUACCCUGGUAGUCCACGCCGUAAAACGAUGA